ACCUGGCUGGCUCAGUCAGUGGAACACGAGACUCUUGAUCUUGGGGUUGUGGGUUCAAGUCCCACAUUGGGUA
This 73-nucleotide transfer RNA is filed under the name Canis lupus familiaris (dog). It matches the Rfam family "tRNA". From Rfam's summary of the family: Transfer RNA (tRNA) molecules are approximately 80 nucleotides in length. Their secondary structure includes four short double-helical elements and three loops (D, anti-codon, and T loops). RNAcentral also lists the same sequence under 1 other name. Lineage: Eukaryota; Metazoa; Chordata; Mammalia; Carnivora; Canidae. The record is from Rfam by way of RNAcentral.